This 1355-nucleotide ribosomal RNA is filed under the name uncultured bacterium. Its description in RNAcentral is "bacterial SSU rRNA". It matches the Rfam family "Bacterial small subunit ribosomal RNA", at positions 18 to 1396 of the family's 1533-position model. The record is from RNAcentral.
CCUGGCUCGUACGAACGCUGGCGGCGCGCCUAACACAUGCAAGUCGAACGAGAGAGAAGGAGCUUGCUUCUUCGAUCGAGUGGCGAACGGGUGAGUAACGCGUGAGGAACCUGCCUCAAAGAGGGGGACAACAGUUGGAAACGACUGCUAAUACCGCAUAAGCCCACGGGUCGGCAUCGACCUGAGGGAAAAGGAGCAAUCCGCUUUGAGAUGGCCUCGCGUCCGAUUAGCUAGUUGGUGAGGUAACGGCCCACCAAGGCGACGAUCGGUAGCCGGACUGAGAGGUUGAACGGCCACAUUGGGACUGAGACACGGCCCAGACUCCUACGGGAGGCAGCAGUGGGGAAUAUUGCACAAUGGGGAAACCCUGAUGCAGCGACGCCGCGUGGAGGAAGAAGGUCUUCGGAUUGUAAACUCCUGUUGUUGAGGAAGAUAAUGACGGUACUCAACAAGGAAGUGACGGCUAACUACGUGCCAGCAGCCGCGGUAAAACGUAGGUCACAAGCGUUGUCCGGAAUUACUGGGUGUAAAGGGAGCGCAGGCGGGAAGACAAGUUGGAAGUGAAAUCUAUGGGCUCAACCCAUAAACUGCUUUCAAAACUGUUUUUCUUGAGUAGUGCAGAGGUAGGCGGAAUUCCCGGUGUAGCGGUGGAAUGCGUAGAUAUCGGGAGGAACACCAGUGGCGAAGGCGGCCUACUGGGCACCAACUGACGCUGAGGCUCGAAAGUGUGGGUAGCAAACAGGAUUAGAUACCCUGGUAGUCCACACCGUAAACGAUGAUUACUAGGUGUUGGAGGAUUGACCCCUUCAGUGCCGCAGUUAACACAAUAAGUAAUCCACCUGGGGAGUACGACCGCAAGGUUGAAACUCAAAGGAAUUGACGGGGGCCCGCACAAGCAGUGGAGUAUGUGGUUUAAUUCGACGCAACGCGAAGAACCUUACCAAGUCUUGACAUCCCUUGACGAACAUAGAAAUAUGUUUUCUCUUCGGAGCAAGGAGACAGGUGGUGCAUGGUUGUCGUCAGCUCGUGUCGUGAGAUGUUGGGUUAAGUCCCGCAACGAGCGCAACCCUUAUGGUCAGUUACUACGCAAGAGGACUCUGGCCAGACUGUCGUUGACAAAACGGAGGAAGGUGGGGAUGACGUCAAAUCAUCAUGCCCUUUAUGACUUGGGCUACACACGUACUACAAUGGCGUUAAACAAAGAGAAGCGAGACCGCGAGGUGGAGCAAAACUCAGAAACAACGUCCCAGUUCGGACUGCAGGCUGCAACUCGCCUGCACGAAGUCGGAAUUGCUAGUAAUCGUGGAUCAGCAUGCCACGGUGAAUACGUUCCCGGGCCUUGUACACACCGCCCG